CUAAUACAUGCUGAAAACCCCGACUUCGGAAGGGGUGUAUUUAUUAGAUAAAAAACCAAUGCCCUUCGGGGCUACUUGGUGAUUCAUAAUAACUUAACGGAUCGCAUGGCCUUGCGCCGGCGACGGUUCAUUCAAAUUUCUGCCCUAUCAACUUUCGAUGGUAAGGUAUUGGCUUACCAUGGUUUCAACGGGUAACGGGGAAUAAGGGUUCUAUUCCGGAGAGGGAGCCUGAGAAACGGCUACCACAUCCAAGGAAGGCAGCAGGCGCGCAAAUUACCCAAUCCCGACACGGGGAGGUAGUGACAAUAAAUACUGAUACAGGGCUCUUUUGGGUCUUGUAAUUGGAAUGAGUACAAUUUAAAUCCCUUAACGAGGAACAAUUGGAGGGCAAGUCUGGUGCCAGCAGCCGCGGUAAUUCCAGCUCCAAUAGCGUAUAUUAAAGUUGUUGCAGUUAAAAAGCUCGUAGUUGAACCUUGGGCCUGGCUGGCCGGUCCGCCUCACCGCGUGUACUGGUCCGGCCGGGCCUUUCCUUCUGGAGAGCCCCAUGCCCUUCACUGGGUGUGCGGGGGAACCAGGACUUUUACUUUGAAAAAAUUAGAGUGUUCAAAGCAGGCCUUUGCUCGAAUACGUUAGCAUGGAAUAAUAGAAUAGGACGUGUGGUUCUAUUUUGUUGGUUUCUAGAACCGCCGUAAUGAUUAAUAGGGAUAGUCGGGGGCAUCAGUAUUCAAUUGUCAGAGGUGAAAUUCUUAGAUUUAUUGAAGACUAACUACUGCGAAAGCAUUUGCCAAGGAUGUUUUCAUUAAUCAGUGAACGAAAGUCAGGGGAUCGAAGACGAUCAGAUACCGUCGUAGUCUUGACCGUAAACUAUGCCGACUAGGGAUCGGGCG
RNAcentral lists this ribosomal RNA (887 nucleotides) under Lophiostoma corticola. Its description in RNAcentral is "SSU rRNA". It matches the Rfam family "Eukaryotic small subunit ribosomal RNA", at positions 164 to 1059 of the family's 1831-position model. The record is from RNAcentral. Lineage: Eukaryota; Fungi; Ascomycota; Dothideomycetes; Pleosporales; Lophiostomataceae.